RNAcentral lists this ribosomal RNA (253 nucleotides) under uncultured bacterium. RNAcentral describes it as "partial 16S ribosomal RNA". It matches the Rfam family "Bacterial small subunit ribosomal RNA", at positions 524 to 776 of the family's 1533-position model. The record is from RNAcentral.
UACGGAGGGCGCAAACGUUUCUCGGAAUCAUUGGGCGUAAAGCGCACGUAGGCGGCCUAGUAAGUUGGAUGUGAAAGCCCUCGGCUUAACCAAGGAAGUGCAUUCAAAACUGCUGGGAUUGAGUACAGGAGAGGGUCGCGGAAUUCUCGGUGUAGAGGUGAAAUUCGUAGAUAUAGGGAGGAACACCAGUGGCGAAGGCGGCGACCUGGACUGAUACUGACGCUGAGGUGCGAAAGCGUGGGGAGCAAACAGG